GUUGCUGCUAUAGAGAUAUAUCCAAAUUCACGAGGGAUCAACCGAUUCUCGCUGUUUUCUGUGAGCCGGGUGUGGCAAAAGUGAAUGUCAUCUGUUGGAUUGCAACACAGAUAAUGAAUAAGGAGAGUUUAAGCCGUUUGAUAAUUGUAGUACAAAAUCUCCUUAUGGGGGAGAAAUGAGACCACUAACUUAGAAGAAAAUAACAAAAAAAUUCAUACGAUGAGGCUGUUGUGCUAUUUGUCAAGGUUCUCUUGCAAUUGAUGUAGAAGUGAUCUUUACUUUUAUAAAGGGUACUUUAGAGUGACCUUAGAGAUUUGGUUGGGAGUUGAUGUAUGACACCAUGGUUUGAUUUAUAUUUUGAUUUGUAUCUUAUGGAGGAAAAGAGGUAUUUUAUGUCUCAUGUGUAGACUUUUUGUAUAUACCUUUUUUAUUUGUAAUAUACUAACAUUUCAUGAUGGUUCUAUUUCUAUUGCUCCUCAAUUGAAAGAGGUUGAUAAA
Lactuca sativa (garden lettuce) is the source of this 498-nucleotide long non-coding RNA. RefSeq lists it as uncharacterized. NCBI's taxonomy places the organism in Eukaryota, Viridiplantae, Streptophyta, Magnoliopsida, Asterales, Asteraceae. The record is from RefSeq and is a predicted model, not a curated record.